RNAcentral lists this ribosomal RNA (460 nucleotides) under uncultured bacterium. Its description in RNAcentral is "partial 16S ribosomal RNA". It matches the Rfam family "Bacterial small subunit ribosomal RNA", at positions 357 to 808 of the family's 1533-position model. The record is from RNAcentral.
GGGAAUCUUCCACAAUGGACGCAAGUCUGAUGGAGCAACGGCCGCGUGAGUGAAGAAGGCUUUCGGGUCGUAAAACUCUGUUAUUGAAGAAGAACGUGUGUGACAGUAACUGGUCAUGCAGUGACGGUAUUCAAUCAGAAAGUCACGGCUAACUACGUGCCAGCAGCCGCGGUAAUACGUAGGUGGCAAGCGUUGUCCGGAUUUAUUGGGCGUAAAGCGAGUGCAGGCGGUCUUUUAAGUCUGAUGUGAAAGCCUUCGGCUUAACCGAAGAAGGGCAUCGGAAACUGGGAGACUUGAGUGCAGAAGAGGAGAGUGGAACUCCAUGUGUAGCGGUGAAAUGCGUAGAUAUAUGGAAGAACACCAGUGGCGAAGGCGGCUCUCUGGUCUGUAACUGACGCUGAGGCUCGAAAGCGUGGGUAGCAAACAGGAUUAGAUACCCUGGUAGUCCACGCCGUAAACG